This 2774-nucleotide ribosomal RNA is filed under the name Staphylococcus aureus. RNAcentral's name for it is "bacterial LSU rRNA". It matches the Rfam family "Bacterial large subunit ribosomal RNA". The record is from RNAcentral. Lineage: Bacteria; Bacillati; Bacillota; Bacilli; Caryophanales; Staphylococcaceae.
UUAAGUUAUUAAGGGCGCACGGUGGAUGCCUUGGCACUAGAAGCCGAUGAAGGACGUUACUAACGACGAUAUGCUUUGGGGAGCUGUAAGUAAGCUUUGAUCCAGAGAUUUCCGAAUGGGGAAACCCAGCAUGAGUUAUGUCAUGUUAUCGAUAUGUGAAUACAUAGCAUAUCAGAAGGCACACCCGGAGAACUGAAACAUCUUAGUACCCGGAGGAAGAGAAAGAAAAUUCGAUUCCCUUAGUAGCGGCGAGCGAAACGGGAAGAGCCCAAACCAACAAGCUUGCUUGUUGGGGUUGUAGGACACUCUAUACGGAGUUACAAAGGACGACAUUAGACGAAUCAUCUGGAAAGAUGAAUCAAAGAAGGUAAUAAUCCUGUAGUCGAAAAUGUUGUCUCUCUUGAGUGGAUCCUGAGUACGACGGAGCACGUGAAAUUCCGUCGGAAUCUGGGAGGACCAUCUCCUAAGGCUAAAUACUCUCUAGUGACCGAUAGUGAACCAGUACCGUGAGGGAAAGGUGAAAAGCACCCCGGAAGGGGAGUGAAAUAGAACCUGAAACCGUGUGCUUACAAGUAGUCAGAGCCCGUUAAUGGGUGAUGGCGUGCCUUUUGUAGAAUGAACCGGCGAGUUACGAUUUGAUGCAAGGUUAAGCAGUAAAUGUGGAGCCGUAGCGAAAGCNNNNNNNNNNNNNNNNNNNNNNAGUCUGAAUAGGGCGUUUAGUAUUUGGUCGUAGACCCGAAACCAGGUGAUCUACCCUUGGUCAGGUUGAAGUUCAGGUAACACUGAAUGGAGGACCGAACCGACUUACGUUGAAAAGUGAGCGGAUGAACUGAGGGUAGCGGAGAAAUUCCAAUCGAACCUGGAGAUAGCUGGUUCUCUCCGAAAUAGCUUUAGGGCUAGCCUCAAGUGAUGAUUAUUGGAGGUAGAGCACUGUUUGGACGAGGGGCCCCUCUCGGGUUACCGAAUUCAGACAAACUCCGAAUGCCAAUUAAUUUAACUUGGGAGUCAGAACAUGGGUGAUAAGGUCCGUGUUCGAAAGGGAAACAGCCCAGACCACCAGCUAAGGUCCCAAAAUAUAUGUUAAGUGGAAAAGGAUGUGGCGUUGCCCAGACAACUAGGAUGUUGGCUUAGAAGCAGCCAUCAUUUAAAGAGUGCGUAAUAGCUCACUAGUCGAGUGACACUGCGCCGAAAAUGUACCGGGGCUAAACAUAUUACCGAAGCUGUGGAUUGUCCUUUGGACAAUGGUAGGAGAGCGUUCUAAGGGCGUUGAAGCAUGAUCGUAAGGACAUGUGGAGCGCUUAGAAGUGAGAAUGCCGGUGUGAGUAGCGAAAGACGGGUGAGAAUCCCGUCCACCGAUUGACUAAGGUUUCCAGAGGAAGGCUCGUCCGCUCUGGGUUAGUCGGGUCCUAAGCUGAGGCCGACAGGCGUAGGCGAUGGAUAACAGGUUGAUAUUCCUGUACCACCUAUAAUCGUUUUAAUCGAUGGGGGGACGCAGUAGGAUAGGCGAAGCGUGCGAUUGGAUUGCACGUCUAAGCAGUAAGGCUGAGUAUUAGGCAAAUCCGGUACUCGUUAAGGCUGAGCUGUGAUGGGGAGAAGACAUUGNGUCUUCGAGUCGUUGAUUUCACACUGCCGAGAAAAGCCUCUAGAUAGAAAAUAGGUGCCCGUACCGCAAACCGACACAGGUAGUCAAGAUGAGAAUUCUAAGGUGAGCGAGCGAACUCUCGUUAAGGAACUCGGCAAAAUGACCCCGUAACUUCGGGAGAAGGGGUGCUCUUUAGGGUUAACGCCCAGAAGAGCCGCAGUGAAUAGGCCCAAGCGACUGUUUAUCAAAAACACAGGUCUCUGCUAAACCGUAAGGUGAUGUAUAGGGGCUGACGCCUGCCCGGUGCUGGAAGGUUAAGAGGAGUGGUUAGCUUCUGCGAAGCUACGAAUCGAAGCCCCAGUAAACGGCGGCCGUAACUAUAACGGUCCUAAGGUAGCGAAAUUCCUUGUCGGGUAAGUUCCGACCCGCACGAAAGGCGUAACGAUUUGGGCACUGUCUCAACGAGAGACUCGGUGAAAUCAUAGUACCUGUGAAGAUGCAGGUUACCCGCGACAGGACGGAAAGACCCCGUGGAGCUUUACUGUAGCCUGAUAUUGAAAUUCGGCACAGCUUGUACAGGAUAGGUAGGAGCCUUUGAAACGUGAGCGCUAGCUUACGUGGAGGCGCUGGUGGGAUACUACCCUAGCUGUGUUGGCUUUCUAACCCGCACCACUUAUCGUGGUGGGAGACAGUGUCAGGCGGGCAGUUUGACUGGGGCGGUCGCCUCCUAAAAGGUAACGGAGGCGCUCAAAGGUUCCCUCAGAAUGGUUGGAAAUCAUUCAUAGAGUGUAAAGGCAUAAGGGAGCUUGACUGCGAGACCUACAAGUCGAGCAGGGUCGAAAGACGGACUUAGUGAUCCGGUGGUUCCGCAUGGAAGGGCCAUCGCUCAACGGAUAAAAGCUACCCCGGGGAUAACAGGCUUAUCUCCCCCAAGAGUUCACAUCGACGGGGAGGUUUGGCACCUCGAUGUCGGCUCAUCGCAUCCUGGGGCUGUAGUCGGUCCCAAGGGUUGGGCUGUUCGCCCAUUAAAGCGGUACGCGAGCUGGGUUCAGAACGUCGUGAGACAGUUCGGUCCCUAUCCGUCGUGGGCGUAGGAAAUUUGAGAGGAGCUGUCCUUAGUACGAGAGGACCGGGAUGGACAUACCUCUGGUGUACCAGUUGUCGUGCCAACGGCAUAGCUGGGUAGCUAUGU